GUGAGAACCUCGCCUGGAGUGGGAAUAACGUCGGGGAAACUCGAGCUUAAUACCCGCACUACCUCGGAUGGUCGCAUGGCCGACCGAGGAAAGAUUUAUCGCUCUAGGAGGGUCUCGCGGCCUAUCAGCUAGUUGGUGGGUAACGGCCUACCAAGGCAACGACGGGUAGCUGGUUUGAGAGAACGAUCAGCCACACUGGGACUGAGACACGGCCCAGACUCCUACGGGAGGCAGCAGUGGGGAAUCUUGCGCAAUGGGCGAAAGCCUGACGCAGCAACGCCGCGUGCGGGAUGACGGCCUUCGUGGUUGUAAACCGCUUUCAGCAGGGACGAAAAUGACGGUACCUGCAGAAGAAGCCCCGGCUAACUACGUG
This 373-nucleotide ribosomal RNA is filed under the name uncultured bacterium. Its description in RNAcentral is "bacterial SSU rRNA". It matches the Rfam family "Bacterial small subunit ribosomal RNA", at positions 117 to 507 of the family's 1533-position model. The record is from RNAcentral.